UACGAAGGGUGCAAGCGUUAAUCGGAAUUACUGGGCGUAAAGCGCGCGUAGGUGGUUCAGUCAAGUUGGAUGUGAAAGCCCUAGGGCUCAACCUGGGAACUGCAUCCAAAACUACUGAGCUAGAGUACGGUAGAGGGUAGUGGAAUUUCCUGGUGUAAGCGGUGAAAUGCGUAGAUAAUAGGAAGGAACACCAGUGGCGAAGGCGACUACCU
RNAcentral lists this ribosomal RNA (212 nucleotides) under uncultured bacterium. Its description in RNAcentral is "partial 16S ribosomal RNA". It matches the Rfam family "Bacterial small subunit ribosomal RNA", at positions 524 to 730 of the family's 1533-position model. The record is from RNAcentral.